UGCCAAUGGAUUGAACUCAUCUCCCACU
RNAcentral lists this non-coding RNA (28 nucleotides) under Rattus norvegicus (Norway rat). The record is from RNAcentral. Lineage: Eukaryota; Metazoa; Chordata; Mammalia; Rodentia; Muridae.